Molecule: long non-coding RNA, 204 nt
Filed under: Elaeis guineensis (African oil palm)
Lineage: Eukaryota; Viridiplantae; Streptophyta; Magnoliopsida; Arecales; Arecaceae
Description: long non-coding RNA (EGUI_LNC044606)
Source: RNAcentral
CACCUUUUCGUUCUAUUAAAGAGAUCAAGAACGCAUAGAGUAGUUUGGACAAUUUCUUGAAGAUCAACCUCUGAAAUAUCCCCUCUCCACAUAAUAUGGCCAGCUCAUCUGACCAGCAUUGCAACGAAUGCCUCUAUAUAAGACUAUUUGGAUGUGGCACCACCUUUGCCCCGCAACCAUGCCACGACGGGCUUAUGUCCUACG